RNAcentral lists this ribosomal RNA (253 nucleotides) under uncultured bacterium. RNAcentral describes it as "partial 16S ribosomal RNA". It matches the Rfam family "Bacterial small subunit ribosomal RNA", at positions 524 to 776 of the family's 1533-position model. The record is from RNAcentral.
UACAGAGGUCUCAAGCGUUGUUCGGAUUCAUUGGGCGUAAAGGGUGCGUAGGUGGCGCGGUAAGUCGGGUGUGAAAUUUCGGAGCUUAACUCCGAAACUGCAUUCGAUACUGCCGUGCUUGAGGACUGGAGAGGAGACUGGAAUUUACGGUGUAGCAGUGAAAUGCGUGGAGAUCGUAAGGAAGACCAGUGGCGAAGGCGGGUCUCUGGACAGUUCCUGACGCUGAGGCGCGAAGGCCAGGGGAGCAAACGGG